UACAGAGGUCUCAAGCGUUGUUCGGAUUCAUUGAGCGUAAAGGGUGCGUAGGUGGCGCUGUAAGUCGGGUGUGAAAUUUCGGAGCUUAACUCCGAAACUGCAUUCGAUACUGCGGUGCUUGAGGACUGGAGAGGAGACUGGAAUUCAUGGUGUAGCAGUGAAAUGCGUAGAGAUCAUGAGGAAGACCAGUGGCGAAGGCGGGUCUCUGGACAGUUCCUGACACUGAGGCACGAAGGCCAGGGGAGCAAACGGG
RNAcentral lists this ribosomal RNA (253 nucleotides) under uncultured bacterium. RNAcentral's name for it is "partial 16S ribosomal RNA". It matches the Rfam family "Bacterial small subunit ribosomal RNA", at positions 524 to 776 of the family's 1533-position model. The record is from RNAcentral.